This 29-nucleotide non-coding RNA is filed under the name Rattus norvegicus (Norway rat). The record is from RNAcentral. Lineage: Eukaryota; Metazoa; Chordata; Mammalia; Rodentia; Muridae.
UGGGAACUACAGCAAAUGGGACACAGUAC